RNAcentral lists this ribosomal RNA (467 nucleotides) under uncultured bacterium. Its description in RNAcentral is "partial 16S ribosomal RNA". It matches the Rfam family "Bacterial small subunit ribosomal RNA", at positions 28 to 507 of the family's 1533-position model. The record is from RNAcentral.
GACGAACGCUGGCGGCGUGCUUAACACAUGCAAGUCGAACGAAGAGGACCGGGCUUUGUCGGUCUGACGAGUGGCGAACGGGUGAGUAACACGUGAGCAACCUGCCCUUCACUCUGGGAUAACCUCGGGAAAUCGGGGCUAAUACCGGAUAUGAGCUCCUGUCGCAUGGCGGGGGUUGGAAAGUUUUGCGGUGUAGGAUGGGCUCGCGGCCUAUCAGCUUGUUGGUGAGGUAGUGGCUCACCAAGGCGAUGACGGGUAGCCGGCCUGAGAGGGUGACCGGCCACACUGGGACUGAGACACGGCCCAGACUCCUACGGGAGGCAGCAGUGGGGAAUAUUGCACAAUGGGCGAAAGCCUGAUGCAGCGACGCCGCGUGCGGGAUGACGGCCUUCGGGUUGUAAACCGCUUUCGGCUGUGACGAAGCGAGAGUGACGGUAAUGGGUGAAGAAGCGCCGGCUAACUACGUG